Molecule: ribosomal RNA, 460 nt
Filed under: uncultured bacterium
Lineage: Bacteria
Description: partial 16S ribosomal RNA
Rfam family: Bacterial small subunit ribosomal RNA
Source: RNAcentral
CCUACGGGUGGCAGCAGUGAGGAAUAUUGGUCAAUGGACGAGAGUCUGAACCAGCCAAGUAGCGUGAAGGAUGACUGCCCUAUGGGUUGUAAACUUCUUUUAUAUGGGAAUAAAACGUUCCACGUGUGGGAUUUUGUAUGUACCAUAUGAAUAAGGAUCGGCUAACUCCGUGCCAGCAGCCGCGGUAAUACGGAGGAUCCGAGCGUUAUCCGGAUUUAUUGGGUUUAAAGGGAGCGUAGGUGGAUUGUUAAGUCAGUUGUGAAAGUUUGCGGCUCAACCGUAAAAUUGCAGUUGAAACUGGCAGUCUUGAGUGCAGUAGAGGUGGGCGGAAUUCGUGGUGUAGCGGUGAAAUGCUUAGAUAUCACGAAGAACUCCGAUUGCGAAGGCAGUUCACUGGACUGCAACUGACACUGAGGCUCGAAAGUGUGGGUAUCAAACAGGAUUAGAUACCCCUGUAGUC